CCUACGGGUGGCUGCAGUCGAGAAUCAUUCACAAUGGGGGAAACCCUGACGGUGCGACGCCGCGUGGGGGAAUGAAGGUUUUCGGAUUGUAAACUCCUGUCAUGUGGGAGCAAAUUAAAAAGAUAGUACCACAAGAGGAAGAGACGGCUAACUCUGUGCCAGCAGCCGCGGUAAUACAGAGGGCUCACGCGUUGUUCGGAAUCACUGGGCGUAAAGCGAGUGUAGGCUGUUUCGUAAGUCGUGUGUGAAAGGCGCGGGCUCAACCCGCGGACGGCACAUGAUACUGCGAGACUAGAGUAAUGGAGAGGAAAGCGGAAUUCCAGGUGUAGGAGUGAAAUGCGUAGAUAUCGAGAGGAACACUCGUGGCGAAGGCGAGUACCUGGACAUUAACUGACGCUGAGGCACGAAGGCGAGGGGAGCGAAAGGGAUUAGAUACCCUGGUAGUC
This 446-nucleotide ribosomal RNA is filed under the name uncultured bacterium. RNAcentral's name for it is "partial 16S ribosomal RNA". It matches the Rfam family "Bacterial small subunit ribosomal RNA", at positions 338 to 795 of the family's 1533-position model. The record is from RNAcentral.